This 117-nucleotide ribosomal RNA is filed under the name Trueperella pyogenes. Lineage: Bacteria; Bacillati; Actinomycetota; Actinomycetes; Actinomycetales; Actinomycetaceae. The record is from RNAcentral.
GACGGUGGCAAUAGCGGUGGGGAGACGCCCGGUCCCAUCCCGAACCCGGAAGCUAAGCCCACCAGCGCCGAUGGUACUGCACCCGCGAGGGUGUGGGAGAGUAGGACACCGCCGUCA